UACUAAUUAAUGUAUUAUUUUUAAAAUUUUUUAUAAUGUAUAUAAAAAUAUUCUGAAUACCAACAUAAUUUGUCACUCCCGAGUCCCAGCAGAAACCUAUCAGGCACGUGCACAAACCCGCCGUAUGCACAAGGCACCUCCGGUGCAUACAAGAUCUACCAGAAAAACAAGCUAUAAAAAGAGUAGAAAAAAUAAUCCUAACAUCUAUAUAUCUAUAUAUCCUCUAUUAAUCCUCGUAUUAGUCAUCCACGUGUCAUGUUUAUCUUAAUUCAAAUUACUUUAAUCCCACACUACCUCAAAUUCCAUGUGUUGCUUCGCCAUGCCGCUUAGACCCCUCCCCCGCCUCUUCGAUCCCUUCCCCAACUCUUUAAUCUCCUCCUAAUAACCCUACUAACCAGAGAGAGAGAGGGCGCGCGUGCGACACCGCCACUUCGAUCCUUCCCUUUCCUCUUCGAUUCUUUCCCCGCCUCUUCGAUUUCCUCCUAAUAACCCUAAUAACCCGAGAGAGAGAGCGCGCGCAAGCACACGUGACACCGCCUCUUCGAUCUCCUUCUAAUAACCCUAAUAAUCUGAGAGAGUGGAGCGCGUGCGCGAUACCUCUUUCCUUUCCCCUAUCUUCGCCUUUCGCCGGACAACUUUGUCGCCACCAUGAUAUCCGCCGACAAAAACCCCAGCGGCUCUAAUGGACUGAAGCAGGCCCCCCUAGAACCAGUCCCCGCUCAAGGAUCAGGAGCAGCCCCCGUUCAACGAGCAGAAGAAGAAGAAGGAUUAGAAGAGGAUGAGGAUCUGGGCGCUAACAAAUGGGGACUUCGAGAUGGCUCUGGCGAGCGGAUUCACAAGCGCUGCCGUGCGAAAGUCACUUCACUAUAUUGUUUUUAAGAGAAAUUUGAUUUAGAUCAGGGUUUACCUUGCUAAUAAGAGAAGCUUUAGUAGAAGACGAAGAGGCUUCGCUAUACAUCAUAAGUCAGCUGAUGGGGAUGUAUUGGUUUUUCAAUUGAUCAAAUCUACAAAGUUAAGUACAUUAAGCUGAAGAGACGUGGACAUAGCCGAGUAUAUUUCACAAUAAAACAAAGCCGGUCUAAGGAUUCGGAUAAGGAGUCGAGAUAAAGAGAUUAUCUGUGGGUUGCACUUUAUUGGGAAAGUGUAGAGUUGUUUAACUAAUUAAUUUUACUUUAUCGUUUUUAUUAGAACCGUCACUUAUAAAGUAAGAUUUUGGCCUUUUCUCCAAAAGUACUUUCCACAUAAUAUUUUAGUAUAUGUUGUUGGUACUUUGAGUAUUAGUAACUUCAAGAAAAAUGAGUAUUGGAGUAAAAACUUCUGAUCAUACAGAUUGCGUCAAAGAAAUUCAAAAUUGUGUCCUCAAAUUCUCAUUUUCUAU
Molecule: long non-coding RNA, 1378 nt
Organism: Ananas comosus (pineapple)
Lineage: Eukaryota; Viridiplantae; Streptophyta; Magnoliopsida; Poales; Bromeliaceae
Exons: 4
Source: RefSeq, a predicted model, not a curated record